AUGAUAUUUCUCAUCUGCUUGAAACCUGGCCAGAUUAGGAAGCCAAGGCAAGAAGAGUGGAGGAGGAGGGGAGCUGGUGGAACCCAGUGGAAGUCUCCUGGGCAGUUUGAUCACACUUUCUCCUUGUCCUCCUGUCUCCUCCUCGGUGCAGAGAUUGUGGGCAGACUAUGUAAUUGCUGAAGAGGGGGAAGAGGAGGGAUUGGCGCUCUCCUGCAGCACCCAGCAAGGUGCAGCAACUUGGCUAGGUGGAGUUUCACUGCAGCUGCUCCCAGUUUGCUCCGGAGGGCUAGGAGGUCAGUCCAUCUAGCCUGGUGGCCAGUACAACUCCGGGAGUCCCUGAGGCAUGUAAGGCAGCAAGUGCGCACCCCGGUUCCACUGUGCCACGCCGACAGCUUGCAGCCAGCAUGGAGAAGGACAGCCUGAGUCACACUGAUCAGCAGUAUGAGUGCAUGGCAGAGACUGGAGAAGGCGCCUGCCUACAGGAAGGUGUUCAAGGCCUGCAACCUGAAGAAUGGCAGCCCCUUCCUGACUCUGAAGCACUUGGGAGUGCAGACCAGUGAGGAGGGCAUGCUGCUCUCCACCAUCCACGAGGUGGCGGUGCUGAGGCACCUGGAGAAUUCCAGCACUGGAUCAUGGUCAGUUGAGCCAGGAGCACUGGCUAUGGGGUCCAGGAAGGUGCUGGGCAAGGGCGGCUGGUGGCCAAACUAAAGUUAAGAG
Long non-coding RNA from Mus musculus (house mouse), 717 nucleotides. RefSeq annotates it as predicted gene 5376. The transcript is spliced from 2 exons. NCBI's taxonomy places the organism in Eukaryota, Metazoa, Chordata, Mammalia, Rodentia, Muridae. The record is from RefSeq and is a predicted model, not a curated record.